Molecule: ribosomal RNA, 491 nt
Filed under: uncultured bacterium
Lineage: Bacteria
Description: partial 16S ribosomal RNA
Rfam family: Bacterial small subunit ribosomal RNA
Source: RNAcentral
AGUGAACGCUGGCGGUAGGCCUAACACAUGCAAGUCGAACGGCAGCACAGUAAGAGCUUGCUCUUACGGGUGGCGAGUGGCGGACGGGUGAGGAAUACAUCGGAAUCUACUUUUUCGUGGGGGAUAACGUAGGGAAACUUACGCUAAUACCGCAUACGACCUACGGGUGAAAGCAGGGGAUCUUCGGACCUUGCGCGAUUGAAUGAGCCGAUGUCGGAUUAGCUAGUUGGCGGGGUAAAGGCCCACCAAGGCGACGAUCCGUAGCUGGUCUGAGAGGAUGAUCAGCCACACUGGAACUGAGACACGGUCCAGAUUCCUACGGGAGGCAGCAGUGGGGAAUAUGGGACAAUGGGCGCAAGCCUGAUCCAGCCAUACCGCGUGGGUGAAGAAGGCCUGCGGGUUGUAAAGCCCUUUUGUUGGGAAAGAAAAGCAGCAGGUUAAUACCCCGCUGUUCUGACGGUACCCAAAGAAUAAGCACCGGCUAACUUCGU